GGAAACCCUGCCAGAAAAGAAACUAACCAAUCCAUCUGUACCGAGUCCUUGGAGCCGAAUCGGCAACGACGGGUUUAAGCGUAGGAACGGGAACAGCAGAGCCGGAGCGAAAGCGAAGUGAUUGAGCUGGGAAAUGUGUAUCAGUUGAAGAGGUCGAGGACUUUUCCUUAUCCGCAGACUGCAUUGUACUUUAUCGUAAUGGUGAGAUUUGUACGACUCUUCCCCAGUCUGAGAACC
RNAcentral lists this non-coding RNA (237 nucleotides) under Lacrimispora xylanisolvens. The record is from RNAcentral. Lineage: Bacteria; Bacillati; Bacillota; Clostridia; Lachnospirales; Lachnospiraceae.